This 253-nucleotide ribosomal RNA is filed under the name uncultured bacterium. Its description in RNAcentral is "partial 16S ribosomal RNA". It matches the Rfam family "Bacterial small subunit ribosomal RNA", at positions 524 to 776 of the family's 1533-position model. The record is from RNAcentral.
UACGAAGGGGGCAAGCGUUGUUCGGAAUUACUGGGCGUAAAGGGCGCGUAGGCGGCUUACCAAGUCAGGCGUGAAAUUCCCGGGCUCAACCUGGGGGCUGCGCUUGAUACUGGUGAGCUUGAAUGCGGGAGAGGAUAGUGGAAUUCCCAGUGUAGAGGUGAAAUUCGUAGAUAUUGGGAAGAACACCGGUGGCGAAGGCAGCUCUCUGGGACGGUACUGACGCUGAGACGCGAAAGCGUGGGGAGCGAACAGG